Molecule: non-coding RNA, 73 nt
Organism: Picea glauca (white spruce)
Lineage: Eukaryota; Viridiplantae; Streptophyta; Pinopsida; Pinales; Pinaceae
Source: Rfam
GAUCGCGUGGUCUAAUGGAUAAGGCACUCGCCUCUGGAGCGGUAGAUUGUGUGUUCGAGUUCCAUCGUGAUCG